RNAcentral lists this ribosomal RNA (339 nucleotides) under Triticum aestivum (bread wheat). RNAcentral describes it as "partial small subunit ribosomal RNA". The record is from RNAcentral. Lineage: Eukaryota; Viridiplantae; Streptophyta; Magnoliopsida; Poales; Poaceae.
AUGACCAUGGUUGAUGGAGCGGCUCCGGUGUUUCAUAGCCCAUGUUCACCUAAGAAGCUCACUCCUAAUGUUGGCAUCUCAACCACCACCAUUGUCCCAGCAUCCAACAAACAUGUGCCACAAAUUCCAUGUGAGGAAGGGAGUCCACAAUCCAAAAUCCCACAUCUUGAGAGUGAUAAGGAAAGCAAGCUGAGUGACUCCACCAAAAGUGAGGAAGAGUGUCCACUAUCAAAAAUCCCAACACUUGAGGGUGAAAAGAAAACUGAGUUGAGUGACUCCACCAAAUGUGAGGAAGAGUAUCCACUUUCCAAAAUUCCAUAUAUUGAGAGUGAUAAGUAA